CGCACCCCAACUGUAUUAUUGUACCCUUGCAAUGAUCAUGAUUUCUGGAGCAGGUUAAUGCAUCAUGAAAACUAUACUUGCAACUCCUUCUUCCAUGUGUCCAUCAUCCAAGGGCUUGCAUCAUUGCCGCCGACUCCAUUAAUAGCUCGACCCUUAAUUAAGACAUUCCUAUGUAUUUGUUUGGCUUCCCAUACCACUCAAACCUGAAAUAUUUAAUAACUUUCUUAUCCUCAUGGUUUGUUUCUGUUUCUUGGUGGACCAAAGAAGGAAGAUUAGGAGAAGCAAGCCGGUGGCCGGAUCAUGUUCGCGCUGCGGCCGCGGAGCUAGCGUGGCUGACAUGAGAACUGCAACAAGGUUUUGUUAUAUUCCAGUUUAUUGGAAAUCUUGGAAAGCUAUUAUUUGUACAUUUUGUGGAGCUAUUCUUAAAUCUUACAGAUAGAUGCUUCUGAGCUAUAUAUCAGAUUUAGUUCGUGACUGCAAUAGACACUCUUUUCUAUCCUUUUCCGUCUUUUGUUUACUGCUUUAUAAUUCAGUAUACGUGUAUGAUAUACAGAUCAGGAAACUCGGUGUCUGUAUUGAUUUCAUUUCCAUCUUUUUCUUGCUUUAGCUACAUUUUUAUGUAUUGCUCCACUGUGGUUUCUUUAGCAAAAUAGUGGAAGAGAAUUUCGCUUUCAGCUAUAUUACGGUAAGAGUUGCGAGCUUGAGAUCAUGCGAUUAAUAUUUGAUAUGUAUUUGAAUAUGUAGUUUCAGUUAUCGAGUCUUUUAUUGUAUAUAAGAAGUAAGAAUUCAAUCUUGAAAGAUCUCUUGGAAAAACUUCCCAUGUAUAAGAACUUCUAAAGACCCUAGCUAGUUAGAUGGAUGUUAUGUUAG
This 870-nucleotide unclassified non-coding RNA is filed under the name Hevea brasiliensis (rubber tree). The record is from RNAcentral. Lineage: Eukaryota; Viridiplantae; Streptophyta; Magnoliopsida; Malpighiales; Euphorbiaceae.